UAAAUAACUUUUAACAAUGGAUCUCUAGGCUCUCAUAUCGAUGAAGAACACAGUGAAAUGUGAUAAGUAAUGUGAAUUGCAGAAUUCAGUGAAUCAUUGAAUCUUUGAACGCACCUUGCACCUUUUGGUAUUCCAAAAGGUAUGCCUGUUUGAGUGUCAUGAAAAUCUCUCAUCAAAUUAAUUUUUGGUGGA
Molecule: ribosomal RNA, 192 nt
Filed under: Uromyces vignae
Lineage: Eukaryota; Fungi; Basidiomycota; Pucciniomycetes; Pucciniales; Pucciniaceae
Description: 5.8S rRNA
Rfam family: 5.8S ribosomal RNA (bases 6-159)
About the family: 5.8S ribosomal RNA (5.8S rRNA) is a component of the large subunit of the eukaryotic ribosome. It is transcribed by RNA polymerase I as part of the 45S precursor that also contains 18S and 28S rRNA.
Source: RNAcentral